Pipra filicauda (Wire-tailed manakin) is the source of this 512-nucleotide long non-coding RNA. RefSeq lists it as uncharacterized. The record is from RefSeq and is a predicted model, not a curated record. The transcript is spliced from 2 exons. NCBI's taxonomy places the organism in Eukaryota, Metazoa, Chordata, Aves, Passeriformes, Pipridae.
GAAAAGUCUGGAAAGGGACAGGUGUGGCUGGAAUGAUUGGCUCCCUGUCUCUGGGAGCCAGAACAAAGCAGUGCCUGGCUCACCAACACUUCCCAGGGGCGUUGGAGGGUUUCAUUUCUUCCCAACGCUUUUCAGGGACAAUUCUUGGUGAGCCAGGUGGGACAAUGCUGUCGACCCUCCAGGGAUUCCGGGACCCUGAGGACUCCAGCGAGCAGUGAAAAUAUUCUUCUGGGAGAUCUCAGUCCCUGGAUCUGGGAUCCUGAGGAGGGUGAAGCCCUUCUGUGCAGGACUUGGAGAUGGUCCUUGGCCUGUCCAAAUGCAUUAAAUGCUGCUGCUGAAGGAGCCCCCCCAGUGAUUUUAUCUGCAUUAAACCCCUGGAGCCCACGGGCACCUGCUCCUGCCUGGACAGUAACCAGGAGUUUCCUUGGACUGGUGUCCCCCAGGAAGGACGUUUUCCCCCCUGUUUCUGAGGCUUUUAAUAGUCUUUGAUCAAUAAAUAUUUCUCCAUGGGA